This 443-nucleotide ribosomal RNA is filed under the name uncultured bacterium. RNAcentral's name for it is "partial 16S ribosomal RNA". It matches the Rfam family "Bacterial small subunit ribosomal RNA", at positions 338 to 795 of the family's 1533-position model. The record is from RNAcentral.
CCUACGGGAGACAGCAGUGGGGAAUAUUGGGCAAUGGGCGCAAGCCUGACCCAGCAACGCCGCGUGAAGGAAGAAGGCUUUCGGGUUGUAAACUUCUUUUCUCAGGGACGAAGAAAGUGACGGUACCUGAUGAAUAAGCCACCGCUAACUACGUGCCAGCAGCCGCGGUAAUACGUAGGGGGCAAGUGUUAUCCGGAUUUAUUGGGUGUAAAGGGCGUGUAGGCGGGAGCGCAAGUCAGAUGUGAAAACUCAGGGCUCAACCCUGGGCCUGCAUUUGAAACUGUGUUUCUUGAGUGCUGGAGAGGCAAUCGGAAUUCCGUGUGUAGCGGUGAAAUGCGUAGAUAUACGGAGGAACACCAGUGGCGAAGGCGGAUUGCUGGACAGUAACUGACGCUGAGGCGCGAAAGCGUGGGGAGCAAACAGGAUUAGAUACCCCUGUAGUC